UACGUAGGGGGCAAGCGUUGUCCGGAAUUAUUGGGCGUAAAGAGCUCGUAGGCGGUCUGUCGCGUCGGAUGUGAAAGCCCGGGGCUCACCCCCGGAAGUGCAUUGGAAACUGGCGGACUCGAGUCCCGGAGAGGAGAGUGGAAUUCCUGGUGUAGCGGUGAAAUGCGUAGAUAUCAGGAGGAACACCGAUGGCGAAGGCAGGUCUCUGGGCCAUAACUGACGCUGAGAAGCGAAAGCAUGGGGAGCGAACAGG
This 253-nucleotide ribosomal RNA is filed under the name uncultured bacterium. RNAcentral's name for it is "partial 16S ribosomal RNA". It matches the Rfam family "Bacterial small subunit ribosomal RNA", at positions 524 to 776 of the family's 1533-position model. The record is from RNAcentral.